GAUGAACGCUGGCGGCGUGCUUAACACAUGCCAGUCGAACGAGAAGUGAAGACGGAAACCUUCGGGCGGAAGGCUUUAUUUCGAGUGGCGGACGGGCGAGUAACGCGUGGGUAACCUGCCUCAUACAGGGGGAUAACAGUUGGAAACGACUGUUAAUACCGCAUAAGACCACAGCACCGCAUGGUGCGGGGGUAAAAACUCCGGUGGUAUGAGAUGGACCCGCGUUCGAUUAGCCAGUUGGCGGGGUAACGGCCCACCAAAGCGACGAUCGAUAGCCGAUCUGAGAGGAUGACCGGCCACAUUGGGACUGAGACACGGCCCAAACUCCUACGGGAGGCAGCAGUGGGGAAUAUUGCACAAUGGGGGAAACCCUGAUGCAGCGACGCCGCGUGAGUGAAGAAGUAUUUCGGUAUGUAAAGCUCUAUCAGCAGGGAAGAAAAUGACGGUACCUGAGUAAGAAGCCCCGGCUAACUACGU
This 477-nucleotide ribosomal RNA is filed under the name uncultured bacterium. RNAcentral's name for it is "partial 16S ribosomal RNA". It matches the Rfam family "Bacterial small subunit ribosomal RNA", at positions 28 to 506 of the family's 1533-position model. The record is from RNAcentral.